AUUGAACGCUGGCGGCAUGCCUUACACAUGCAAGUCGAACGGCAGCACGGGUGCUUGCACCUGGUGGCGAGUGGCGAACGGGUGAGUAAUACAUCGGAACGUACCUUAUCGUGGGGGAUAACGCAGCGAAAGUUGCGCUAAUACCGCAUACGCCCUGAGGGGGAAAGCGGGGGACCGUAAGGCCUCGCGCGAUUAGAGCGGCCGAUGUCUGAUUAGCUUGUUGGUGAGGUAAAAGCUCACCAAGGCGAUGAUCAGUAGCUGGUCUGCGAGGAAGAGCAGCCAACCUGGGACUGAGGCACGGCCCAGACUCCUACGGGAGGCAGCAGUGGGGAAUUUUGGACAAUGGGGGCAACACUGAUCAAGCAAUGCCGCGUGAGUGAAGAAGGCCUUCGGGUUGUAAAGCUCUUUUGUCAGGGAAGAAACAGCAGCUCUAACACAGUCUGCGAAUGACGGUACCUGAAGAAUAAGCACCGGCUAACUACGUGCCAGCCGCCGCCGUAA
Molecule: ribosomal RNA, 501 nt
Filed under: uncultured bacterium
Lineage: Bacteria
Description: partial 16S ribosomal RNA
Rfam family: Bacterial small subunit ribosomal RNA
Source: RNAcentral